UCCGUCGUGGUGCAGUGGUAGCCCGCCAGUCCUCUCAUCAUGCCCCGCAACCGCAACCAUCAGAUGCCUGGCGCAUCCAGCAAUUGAGCAAUAGAGCAAUUUCUGGCAUGCAGGGCAACUGACGGCCGCAGUUGUCCUGGCAAAGCUUUGAGAGCUGGACUGGAGACCCGAGUUCGAUUCUCGGCGAUGGAG
Non-coding RNA from Phyllosticta capitalensis, 192 nucleotides. NCBI's taxonomy places the organism in Eukaryota, Fungi, Ascomycota, Dothideomycetes, Botryosphaeriales, Phyllostictaceae. The record is from the annotation of a GenBank genome assembly.